RNAcentral lists this ribosomal RNA (496 nucleotides) under uncultured bacterium. RNAcentral's name for it is "partial 16S ribosomal RNA". It matches the Rfam family "Bacterial small subunit ribosomal RNA", at positions 28 to 506 of the family's 1533-position model. The record is from RNAcentral.
GAUGAACGCUGGCGGCGUGCCUAAUACAUGCAAGUCGAGCGAACAGAUGAGGAGCUUGCUCCUCUGACGUUAGCGGCGGACGGGUGAGUAACACGUGGAUAACCUACCUAUAAGACUGGGAUAACUUCGGGAAACCGGAGCUAAUACCGGAUAAUAUAUUGAACUGCAUGGUUCAAUAGUGAAAGACGGUUUUGCUGUCACUUAUAGAUGGAUCCGCGCCGCAUUAGCUAGUUGGUAAGGUAACGGCUUACCAAGGCAACGAUGCGUAGCCGACCUGAGAGGGUGAUCGGCCACACUUGAACUAAGACACGGUCCAGACUCCUACGGGAGGCAGCAGUAGGGAAUCUUCCGCAAUGAGCGAAAGCCUGACGGAGCAACGCCGCGUGAGUGAUGAAGGGCUUCGGAUCGUAAAACUCUGUUAUUAGGGAAGAACAAAUGUGUAAGUAACUAUGCGCGUCUGAACGGUACCGAAUCAGAAAGCCACGCCAAACUACGU